Molecule: non-coding RNA, 111 nt
Organism: Meloidogyne enterolobii
Lineage: Eukaryota; Metazoa; Nematoda; Chromadorea; Rhabditida; Meloidogynidae
Source: the annotation of a GenBank genome assembly
ACGCAUUAGUCGUCGCCACGGUAGCUCAGUGGUAGAGCACCUGCAUUUGUGAUACCAGGUCGAGCGAUUACUGUACUCGUUUUCGCAGGUUCGAAUCCUGCCUUGUGGCAG